UCUAUGGAGAGUUUGAUCCUGGCUCAGGACGAACGCUGGCGGCGUGCCUAAUACAUGCAAGUCGAGCGGAGUUUUGAAAAGCUUGCUUUUCAAAACUUAGCGGCGGACGGGUGAGUAACACGUGGGCAACCUGCCCUUGAGACGGGGAUAACUCCGGGAAACCGGAGCUAAUACCGGAUAACACAUAUCUUCGCAUGAGGAUAUGUUAGAAGGUGGCUUUUAGCUAC
RNAcentral lists this ribosomal RNA (227 nucleotides) under Priestia endophytica. Its description in RNAcentral is "Bacillus endophyticus partial 16S ribosomal RNA". It matches the Rfam family "Bacterial small subunit ribosomal RNA", at positions 1 to 218 of the family's 1533-position model. Lineage: Bacteria; Bacillati; Bacillota; Bacilli; Caryophanales; Bacillaceae. The record is from RNAcentral.